UGAGGAAUAUUGGUCAAUGGGCGAGAGCCUGAACCAGCCAAGUAGCGUGCAGGAUGACGGCCCUAUGGGUUGUAAACUGCUUUUAUAUGGGAAUAAGGUAGGGGAGUUGUCCCUUUUUCCAGUUACCUUCGGAUAAAGGACGGGCUAUUCCCGUGCCAGCAGCCGCGGUAAUACGGAAGGUCCAGGCGUUAUCCGGAUUUAUUGGGUUUAAAGGGAGCGUAGGCUGUUUGUUAAGCGUGUUGUGAAAUGUAAGAGCUCAACUUUUAGAUUGCAGCGCGAACUGGCAGACUUGAGUGCGCACAACGUAGGCGGAAUUCAUGGUGUAGCGGUGAAAUGCUUAGAUAUCAUGACGAACUCCGAUUGCGAAGGCAGCUUACGGGAGCGCAACUGACGCUAAAGCUCGAAGGUGCGGGUAUCGAACAGG
This 424-nucleotide ribosomal RNA is filed under the name Verrucomicrobiota bacterium. Its description in RNAcentral is "Verrucomicrobia bacterium partial 16S ribosomal RNA". It matches the Rfam family "Bacterial small subunit ribosomal RNA", at positions 355 to 776 of the family's 1533-position model. Lineage: Bacteria; Pseudomonadati; Verrucomicrobiota. The record is from RNAcentral.